Molecule: ribosomal RNA, 1314 nt
Filed under: Boeremia linicola
Lineage: Eukaryota; Fungi; Ascomycota; Dothideomycetes; Pleosporales; Didymellaceae
Description: partial large subunit ribosomal RNA
Rfam family: Eukaryotic large subunit ribosomal RNA
Source: RNAcentral
GGGAUUGCCCUAGUAACGGCGAGUGAAGCGGCAACAGCUCAAAUUUGAAAUCUGGCGUCUUUGGCGUCCGAGUUGUAAUUUGCAGAGGGCGCUUUGGCAUUGGCAGCGGUCCAAGUUCCUUGGAACAGGACGUCACAGAGGGUGAGAAUCCCGUACGUGGUCGCUAGCCUUUACCGUGUAAAGCCCCUUCGACGAGUCGAGUUGUUUGGGAAUGCAGCUCUAAAUGGGAGGUAAAUUUCUUCUAAAGCUAAAUACUGGCCAGAGACCGAUAGCGCACAAGUAGAGUGAUCGAAAGAUGAAAAGCACUUUGGAAAGAGAGUUAAAAAGCACGUGAAAUUGUUGAAAGGGAAGCGCUUGCAGCCAGACUUGCCUGUAGUUGCUCAUCCGGGUUUUUACCCGGUGCACUCUUCUAUAGGCAGGCCAGCAUCAGUUUGGGCGGUUGGAUAAAGGUCUCUGUCACGUACCUCCUCUCGGGGAGAACUUAUAGGGGAGACGUAAUGCAACCAGCCUGGACUGAGGUCCGCGCAUCUGCUAGGAUGCUGGCGUAAUGGCUGUAAGCGGCCCGUCUUGAAACACGGACCAAGGAGUCUAACAUCUAUGCGAGUGUUUGGGUGUCAAGCCCGAGCGCGUAAUGAAAGUGAACGGAGGUGGGAACCUUUCGGGGUGCACCAUCGACCGAUCCUGAUGUCUUCGGAUGGAUUUGAGUAAGAGCAUAGCUGUUGGGACCCGAAAGAUGGUGAACUAUGCUUGAAUAGGGUGAAGCCAGAGGAAACUCUGGUGGAGGCUCGCAGCGGUUCUGACGUGCAAAUCGAUCGUCAAAUUUGGGCAUAGGGGCGAAAGACUAAUCGAACUAUCUAGUAGCUGGUUCCUGCCGAAGUUUCCCUCAGGAUAGCAGUAACGUUUUCAGUUUUAUGAGGUAAAGCGAAUGAUUAGAGGCCUGGGGGUUGAAACAACCUUCACCUAUUCUCAAACUUUAAAUAUGUAAGAAGUCCUUGUUACUUAAUUGAACGUGGACAGUUGAAUGUAUCGUUACUAGUGGGCCAUUUUUGGUAAGCAGAACUGGCGAUGCGGGAUGAACCGAACGCGGGGUUAAGGUGCCAGAAUAUACGCUCAUCAGACACCACAAAAGGUGUUAGUUCAUCUAGACAGCAGGACGGUGGCCAUGGAAGUCGGAAUCCGCUAAGGAGUGUGUAACAACUCACCUGCCGAAUGAACUAGCCCUGAAAAUGGAUGGCGCUCAAGCGUAUUACCCAUACCCCGCCGCUGGGGCAAGAUUUAAGCCCCAGCGAGUAGGCAGGCGUGGAGGUCCGUGAC